UGGAGAUUAACAUGCAUUGCUUCCGAUAUGGAGAACCUGAUCUUGCUGUCUCUCUUCUCUAUGCUCUUUUACUUCGAAAACCUAGACCAGAUCACCCCACCAUGAUGCCCAAAUCGAAAACCCUCACCACGGUUCUCUGUCUUCCUCUUCGCCUUCUAUCCCAUUCUCUCAACACACCCACCCUCCCCCCGGUCACCACAAACCCUUAUCUAAAACCAUAUACCCAAACACCACUCUAUCAUCUUAUUCUUGCUGCUCUGAAAAGGUGUGAAAAGAUUUACUUGUCUUUGGUACUGAUUUUGGCUUGGAAAAUCACUUGCUAUAAGGGUAUUAUAUAUUAAAGGUACUACUCUGGACAUGACCUUUUUCCUGAAUGAACUAUCAGGACAUUAAAUUCUCAGUUGAAUUCUCAGCAUGCUCUAUACUGCUUCCGAUUAAGCAGCUGAACAUAACAAACCAUUUAAAGCUGAGGUAUAAAAACCCAGGAUUCAACUAUACUGUAAGAUCACGACUGCCAUGUUUGAGUUCUUGGAAAAAUCCAGUAUGAUAUCUUCUGCCAUCUUCUUGGCUUUUACCUACGGAUCGAUUAGAACCUGACCAUGACAGAGAACAAAAUUUUCAUAUCUACCACAGCUUUGAUCCAGGUCUUAGUGUCUGUUGUAUGGUUUGAUGUAUAAAACAAUAAACAUAUGAUAAUACACUUGUACAGAUAACAGACUAAGAUAAUGAAUUAUUGGCACUGCCUGUUUAUGUUUUUGUAUAUAAUGGCCAUGUGAUUUUGGUGGACGGGUAUGAUUCUAUAUUAACAUUUAUAACGGUACAA
Rosa chinensis is the source of this 823-nucleotide long non-coding RNA. RefSeq lists it as uncharacterized. The record is from RefSeq and is a predicted model, not a curated record. The transcript has 2 exons. NCBI's taxonomy places the organism in Eukaryota, Viridiplantae, Streptophyta, Magnoliopsida, Rosales, Rosaceae.